This 468-nucleotide ribosomal RNA is filed under the name uncultured bacterium. Its description in RNAcentral is "partial 16S ribosomal RNA". It matches the Rfam family "Bacterial small subunit ribosomal RNA", at positions 28 to 507 of the family's 1533-position model. The record is from RNAcentral.
GACGAACGCUGGCGGCGUGCUUAACACAUGCAAGUCGAACGGAAAGGCCCUGCUUUUGUGGGGUGCUCGAGUGGCGAACGGGUGAGUAACACGUGAGUAACCUGCCCUUGACUUUGGGAUAACUUCAGGAAACUGGGGCUAAUACCGGAUAGGAGCUCCUGCUGCAUGGUGGGGGUUGGAAAGUUUCGGCGGUUGGGGCUGGACUCGCGGCUUACCAGCUUGUUGGUGGGGUAGUGGCUUACCAAGCCUUUGACGGGUAGCCGGCCUGAGAGGGUGACCGGCCACAUUGGGACUGAGGUACGGCCCAGACUCCUACGGGAGGCAGCAGGCGGGAAUAUUGCACAAUGGGCGGAAGCCUGAUGCAGCGGCGCCGCGUGCGGGAUGACGGCCUUCGGGGUGUGAACCGCUGUCGCCUGUGACGAAGCGUGAGUGACGGUAAUGGGUAAAUAAGCACCGGCUAACUACGUG